UCCCUUGUAGCUCAGUUGGUAAGGCAUCUGCCUGCAAUGUAGGAGACCCAGGUUCGAUCCCUGGGUUGGGAA
This 72-nucleotide transfer RNA is filed under the name Ovis aries (sheep). It matches the Rfam family "tRNA". Rfam says of the family: Transfer RNA (tRNA) molecules are approximately 80 nucleotides in length. Their secondary structure includes four short double-helical elements and three loops (D, anti-codon, and T loops). Further hydrogen bonds mediate the characteristic L-shaped molecular structure. tRNAs have two regions of fundamental functional importance: the anti-codon, which is responsible for specific mRNA codon recognition, and the 3' end, to which the tRNAs corresponding amino acid is attached (by aminoacyl-tRNA synthetases). tRNAs cope with the degeneracy of the genetic code in two manners: having more than one tRNA (with a specific anti-codon) for a particular amino acid; and 'wobble' base-pairing, i.e. permitting non-standard base-pairing at the 3rd anti-codon position. The record is from Rfam by way of RNAcentral. Lineage: Eukaryota; Metazoa; Chordata; Mammalia; Artiodactyla; Bovidae.